UGUGUCAGCAGCCGCGGUAAUACCCGCGCCCCGAGUGGUGGUCGAUAUUAUUGAGCCUAAAACGUCCGUAGCCGGUCUUCUAAAUCCUUGGGUAAAUCGGGCAGCUUAACUGUCCGAAGUCCGGGGAGACUGGGAGACUUGGGACCGGGAGAGGUCAGAGGUACUUCUGGGGUAGGGGUAAAAUCCUGUAAUCCUGGAAGGACCACCGGUGGCGAAGGCGUCUGACUAGAACGGAUCCGACGGUGAGGGACGAAGCCCUGGGGCGCAAACGGGAUUAGAUACCCCGGUAGUCCAGGGUGUAAACGCUGCGGGCUUGGUGUUGGGGGUCCUUAGUGGGCGCCCAGUGCCGGAGAGAAGUUGUUAAGCCUGCUGCUUGGGGAGUAUGUCCGCAAGGAUGAAACUUAAAGGAAUUGGCGGGGGAGCACCGCAACGGGAGGAGCGUGCGGUUCAAUUGGAUUCAACGCCGAAAAACUCACCAGGAGCGACGGAUAUAUGAAGGUCAAGCUGAUGACUUUACCUGAUUUUCCGAGAGGUGGUGCAUGGCCGUCGUCAGUUCGUACCGUAAGGCGUUCUCUUAAGUGAGAUAACGAACGAGACCCUCACCAUUAAUUGCUAGUCCCUUCUCCGGAGGGGGCGCACAUUAAUGGGACCGCUGGCGCUAAGUCAGAGGAAGGAGAGGUCAACGGUAGGUCCGUAUGCCCCGAAUCCCCUGGGCAACACGCGCGCUACAAAGGGUGGGACAAUGGGCUUCGACACCGAAAGGUGAAGACAAUCCUGAAACCCAUCCAUAGUUCGGAUUGGGGGCUGUAACCCGCCCCCAUGAAGCUGGAUUCCGUAGUAAUCGCUUAUCAACAUCAAGCGGUGAAUAUGCCCCUGCUCCUUGCACACACCGCCCGUCAAACCACCCGAGUUGGGUUUCAGUAAGGAUGUCUCUAAUUGGGGCCUUCGAACUGAGAUUCAGCAAGGAGGGUUA
Molecule: ribosomal RNA, 973 nt
Filed under: uncultured bacterium
Lineage: Bacteria
Description: bacterial SSU rRNA
Rfam family: Archaeal small subunit ribosomal RNA
Source: RNAcentral